GAUUAGAGUUUGAUCCUGGCUCAGGACGAACGCUGGCGGCGUGCUUAACACAUGCAAGUCGAACGGAAAGGCCCUGCUUUUGUGGGGUGCUCGGUGGCGAACGGGUGAGUAACACGUGAGUAACCUGCCCUUGACUUUGGGAUAACUUCAGGAAACUGGGGCUAAUACCGGAUAGGAGCUCCUGCUGCAUGGUGGGGGUUGGAAAGUUUCGGCGGUUGGGGAUGGACUCGCGGCUUAUCAGCUUGUUGGUGGGGUAGUGGCUUACCAAGGCUUUGACGGGUAGCCGGCCUGAGAGGGUGACCGGCCACAUUGGGACUGAGAUACGGCCCAGACUCCUACGGGAGGCAGCAGUGGGGAAUAUUGCACAAUGGGCGGAAGCCUGAUGCAGCAACGCCGCGUGCGGGAUGACGGCCUUCGGGUUGUAAACCGCUUUCGCCUGUGACGAAGCGUGAGUGACGGUAAUGGGUAAAGAAGCACCGGCUAACUACGUGCCAGCAGCCGCGGUGAUACGUAGGGUGCGAGCGUUGUCCGGAUUUAUUGGGCGUAAAGGGCUCGUAGGUGGUUGAUCGCGUCGGAAGUGUAAUCUUGGGGCUUAACCCUGAGCGUGCUUUCGAUACGGGUUGACUUGAGGAAGGUAGGGGAGAAUGGAAUUCCUGGUGGAGCGGUGGAAUGCGCAGAUAUCAGGAGGAACACCAGUGGCGAAGGCGGUUCUCUGGGCCUUUCCUGACGCUGAGGAGCGAAAGCGUGGGGAGCGAACAGGCUUAGAUACCCUGGUAGUCCACGCUGUAAACGGUGGGUACUAGGUGUGGGGUCCAUUCCACGGGUUCCGUGCCGUAGCUAACGCUUUAAGUACCCCGCCUGGGGAGUACGGCCGCAAGGCUAAAACUCAAAGGAAUUGACGGGGCCCCGCACAAGCGGCGGAGCAUGCGGAUUAAUUCGAUGCAACGCGUAGAACCUUACCUGGGUUUGACAUGGAUCGGGAGUGCUCAGAGAUGGGUGUGCCUCUUUUGGGGUCGGUUCACAGGUGGUGCAUGGCUGUCGUCAGCUCGUGUCGUGAGAUGUUGGGUUAAGUCCCGCAACGAGCGCAACCCUUGUUCACUGUUGCCAGCACGUUAUGGUGGGGACUCAGUGGAGACCGCCGGGGUCAACUCGGAGGAAGGUGGGGAUGACGUCAAGUCAUCAUGCCCCUUAUGUCCAGGGCUUCACGCAUGCUACAAUGGCUGGUACAGAGAGUGGCGAGCCUGUGAGGGUGAGCGAAUCUCGGAAAGCCGGUCUCAGUUCGGAUUGGGGUCUGCAACUCGACCUCAUGAAGUCGGAGUCGCUAGUAAUCGCAGAUCAGCAACGCUGCGGUGAAUACGUUCCCGGGGCUUGUACACACCGCCCGUCAAGUCAUGAAAGUUGGUAACACCCGAAGCCGGUGGCCUAACCGUUGUGGGGGAGCCGUCGAAGGUGGGACUGGUGAUUAGGACUAAGUCGUAACAAGGUAGCCGUACCGGAAGGUGCGGCUGGAUCACCUCCUUAAUCU
This 1525-nucleotide ribosomal RNA is filed under the name Propionibacterium sp. LG. RNAcentral describes it as "partial 16S ribosomal RNA". It matches the Rfam family "Bacterial small subunit ribosomal RNA". Lineage: Bacteria; Bacillati; Actinomycetota; Actinomycetes; Propionibacteriales; Propionibacteriaceae. The record is from RNAcentral.